Non-coding RNA from Pelobates cultripes (western spadefoot toad), 304 nucleotides. The record is from the annotation of a GenBank genome assembly. NCBI's taxonomy places the organism in Eukaryota, Metazoa, Chordata, Amphibia, Anura, Pelobatidae.
GUGAUAGACCAGGGUCCCCUGAAAGAGGCCAUGCGAUCAGGUGUAGGAGGCCGCGAUCCACCAACUCGUGCGAGUUGCCAUCCGGAUCCCUCAGGAGAUUCGGGAAGGACGGAAUCAGGCGUGGGUAAUCCGCUGUCAGUUCCAGCAGCCGAGGGAACCAAGGCCGAGACCGCCAUAGUGGUGUGAUCAGUACCAACGAGCCGCCGUGUUGCGUCAGUUUCGACAGCGUGCGAGCUAUCAUAUUGAACGGGGGAAAAGCGUAGAGCCGAGUCUUCGGCCAAUCUUGAAGGAACGCAUCCGUUGC